This 339-nucleotide ribosomal RNA is filed under the name Cicindela campestris. Its description in RNAcentral is "partial 16S ribosomal RNA". The record is from RNAcentral. Lineage: Eukaryota; Metazoa; Arthropoda; Insecta; Coleoptera; Carabidae.
AUUGAAGCUUGUAUGAAGGGUUGGACGAGAUAAAAUCUGUCUUUAUUUAAAUUACAAUAAAAUUUAACUUUUAAGUCAAAAGGCUUAAAUGUGUAUAAAAGACGAGAAGACCCUAUAGAUCUUUAUUUAGUUAAUAUUUUAAUAAUUUAGGAUUAUUUUAAUUUAAAGUUUUAAUUAAAUUUUAUUGGGGUAAUAUAAAGAUUAAAUAAAUUCUUUUUAUUUAUUACAUUAAUUUAUGAAUUUGUGAUCCAAUAUUAUUGAUUAUAAGAUUAAGUUACCUUAGGGAUAACAGCGUAAUUUUUUUGGAGAGCUCAUAUCGAUAAGAAAGUUUGCGACCUC